GGGGAAUAUUGGACAAUGGGCGAAAGCCUGAUCCAGCCAUGCCGCGUGAGUGAUGAAGGCCCUAGGGUUGUAAAGCUCUUUCAGUGGGGAAGAUAAUGACGGUACCCACAGAAGAAGCCCCGGCUAACUUCGUGCCAGCAGCCGCGGUAAUACGAAGGGGGCUAGCGUUGUUCGGAAUUACUGGGCGUAAAGCGCACGUAGGCGGAUCUUUAAGUUAGGGGUGAAAUCCCGGGGCUCAACCCCGGAACAGCCUCUGAUACUGGAGAUCUUGAGUCCGAGAGAGGUGAGUGGAAUUCCGAGUGUAGAGGUGAAAUUCGUAGAUAUUCGGAGGAACACCAGUGGCGAAGGCGGCUCACUGGCUCGGUACUGACGCUGAGGUGCGAAAGCGUGGGGAGCAAAC
Molecule: ribosomal RNA, 400 nt
Filed under: uncultured bacterium
Lineage: Bacteria
Description: bacterial SSU rRNA
Rfam family: Bacterial small subunit ribosomal RNA
Source: RNAcentral